This 709-nucleotide ribosomal RNA is filed under the name Entrophospora claroidea. Its description in RNAcentral is "SSU rRNA". It matches the Rfam family "Eukaryotic small subunit ribosomal RNA", at positions 370 to 1082 of the family's 1831-position model. Lineage: Eukaryota; Fungi; Glomeromycota; Glomeromycetes; Entrophosporales; Entrophosporaceae. The record is from RNAcentral.
UUAGGGUUCGAUUCCGGAGAGGGAGCCUGAAAAACGGCUACCACAUCCAAGGAAGGCAGCAGGCGCGCAAAUUACCCAAUCCCGACACGGGGAGGUAGUGACAAUAAAUAACAAUACGGGGCUCUUUCGGGUCUCGUAAUUGGAAUGAGUACAAUUUAAAUCCCUUAACGAGGAACAAUUGGAGGGCAAGUCUGGUGCCAGCAGCCGCGGUAAUUCCAGCUCCAAUAGCGUAUAUUAAAGUUGUUGCAGUUAAAAAGCUCGUAAUUGAAUUUCGGGAUUGACACAUCGGUCGUGCCUUAAGGGGUAUGAACUGGUGUAGUCAAUUUCUCACCUUCUGGAGAACCGCGAUGCCCUUAAUUGGGUGUCGCGGGGAACCAGGACCUUUACUUUGAAAAAAUUAGAGUGUUUAAAGCAGGCAUUUUGCUUGAAUACAUUAGCAUGGAAUAAUAAAAUAGGACGGCAUGAUUCUAUUUUGUUGGUUUCUAGGAUCACCGUAAUGAUUAAUAGGGAUAGUUGGGGGCAUUAGUAUUCAAUUGUCAGAGGUGAAAUUCUUGGAUUUAUUGAAGACUAACUACUGCGAAAGCAUUUGCCAAGGAUGUUUUCAUUAAUCAAGAACGAAAGUUAGGGGAUCGAAGACGAUCAGAUACGUCGUAGUCUUACAUAACUAUGCCGACUAGGAUCAGACGAUGUUAUUUUUAAAAGUUGCACU